GAAGAAACUGAGGUUAAGGUCGCGAUGCUCUGGCCAGCAUCACAGGUAAACGAUUUUGGCAGUGCCCGGAGAAAGAUAGAAGGGCCUCUCUCUGAGAUCGGGUCCUCCUCCUGCAGGGCAGCAGAGUGGAAGCCAGGGCCUGGGACCCUCUGGCUGGGCAAGGAGGGACUGGAGUCCGGCUCCCGGUGACCCCGUCCCCAGUGCCAGCGGUGGGGUCGCCUGUGGCGGCCCGGACAGGCCACGGGUCCCUCUCCCCAAGUCCCAUUACGUUGUAUUUAUGUUUCAUUUUAUAGUUUUUUUUUCCUCCUCCCUUAUUAUUGUCUCACUCUGGGGGAGGCAAAGGAUAUAAUAUAUUCAUCUUUAUUAUACCAAAUCUGUGUGAAGCAUUUAAUAAAACGCUGUUUCCACACAGCCAGGGAUA
Long non-coding RNA from Homo sapiens (human), 421 nucleotides. Ensembl annotates it as LBX1 antisense RNA 1. Its record names the gene LBX1-AS1. Lineage: Eukaryota; Metazoa; Chordata; Mammalia; Primates; Hominidae. The record is from Ensembl.